GAGUGUCACAGCUCUUUUAGUAUUUGCCUAGCAGGUUUUCUGGUUGCUACCAGAAAGCACCCAC
Molecule: small nuclear RNA, 64 nt
Organism: Sorex araneus (European shrew)
Lineage: Eukaryota; Metazoa; Chordata; Mammalia; Eulipotyphla; Soricidae
Gene: U7
Rfam family: U7 small nuclear RNA
About the family: Animal histone pre-mRNAs are spliced by a different mechanism than nuclear pre-mRNAs and self-splicing introns. This processing involves the U7 snRNP, which contains only one RNA species: U7.
Source: Ensembl